UACGAAGGGGGCUAGCGUUGCUCGGAAUCACUGGGCGUAAAGCGCACGUAGGCGGCUUUCUAAGUCAGGGGUGAAAUCCUGGAGCUCAACUCCAGAACUGCCUUUGAUACUGAGAGCCUUGAGUUCGGGAGAGGUGAGUGGAACUGCGAGUGUAGAGGUGAAAUUCGUAGAUAUUCGCAAGAACACCAGUGGCGAAGGCGGCUCACUGGCCCGAUACUGACGCUGAGGUGCGAAAGCGUGGGGAGCAAACAGG
This 253-nucleotide ribosomal RNA is filed under the name uncultured bacterium. RNAcentral describes it as "partial 16S ribosomal RNA". It matches the Rfam family "Bacterial small subunit ribosomal RNA", at positions 524 to 776 of the family's 1533-position model. The record is from RNAcentral.